This 4044-nucleotide long non-coding RNA is filed under the name Hordeum vulgare. Its description in RNAcentral is "long non-coding RNA (HVUL_LNC009241)". Lineage: Eukaryota; Viridiplantae; Streptophyta; Magnoliopsida; Poales; Poaceae. The record is from RNAcentral.
AUAUCUCAAGGUGGAUGAUUAGUAAGUAGAUGAUGAUGAAUAAACGGUCUACUUGUCUUGGCGUACUGUCCAUUACUAUUGAACCUCUAACUAUCAAGGAAAAUAAUUAGCAUUACGGUCCGAUCAUAAUUCUAUUAAUUGCCCAACUGUGAUUUGUUUACCCAAGCAUAGCUUUUUUAUCCUCUUUUGGGAGAGAGGCAUCACUAGUGAACAUCAUGUGACUCCGGUCCAUAUCACCAUCAUUGUUUACACCUCCAUCAUUUACCGCUUUCAUUUACUUUUCCGUUGCAAUCACUAUUACCUUCCCGCUUGUGUUUUGAUCCAUUGCAAACUACAAGGCUAGAGAGAUUGAAAACCUCUUUGUACUCGUUGGGAGCAAAGUUAUUUGUUGUGUGUGCAGGUCCACGUCUUCUGCUAGCGCCAGGGUGGAAGACACCUACUUGUUGAGCCUAGGCGUCCUCCUGGUUUGAUAAACCUUGCAGUCUCCGUGUAAGGGAAAUUUGUUGCUCACUACAUCUCCACCUUUCACUUGGGGUAACCAACGAGGGGCGAGUAGUAUAUCUAUCAACUCGUCAUCAGUACGACACCUUAUCAUCACAAUCUCAAGAUUCUGCUCCUACUAACAAGCUACACAGAAGACACUCGAAGAUUGGAAUGCGAAUCAGAUCAACCAUUCCAAUAAGUCUACAGAAUCGCAACUCGAGAUCCUGAUAGAUAGUUAAGAAGCCUAGUUCUUAGUCCCUGUAGGAAAGAAGAGGUGACUCAGAAUUAGAAUGACAUGGGAAAAGUAGUAAAAAAAGCCUUACGUUCCCUUCCACAAACAAUUCCCUUAUAUAACUAAAGAGUUGCUAGACUCAACAUCGACCAGUUUAGCUUGGUAAUCCUACAGUCAGUCAAGCUUGGAUAUCAUCGCUGUCGGGACCCCGAUCGUAAGCCAUAAAGAUCUAUCCUGUAACACAUCAUAUAGCUUUGCGGCCUCACGCACAGUGCACAACGGCUGCCACCUUACCUUGGCCCGACUGUUUGCGUCUUUUGGCUCACGUACAUGAAUAUGUCGCUAGCAUCCAUAUGUUAAGAACCCGGGUCCACAUGACUAGUUAUAGACCCAAGUGGGACAAUCGUACACGGACAUGCAUACAUAAACCAACAAUGCAGGUGUUUGUACUCAGCAUGUGUAGGCGAGUCAUAGCAAGCUACAAUGACUCCAUUACACCACGCGACAUUUCCCCGUAGGGACAGCCACAACAACAAAGAAGCAUACAUGUUGGUCAAUCAAUAUGUACAGAGCAGUAGCAAGCUACCAAGGCUAUGUGGAAGCACAAAGAGGCAUUUCCCCUAAAGAAGGCUACUACAGGCAUACAACUAGGCGUCGAAUCCCAAACAUACAAUGCAUUUCAAAGCAUUCACACAAUAUGCACGAUAUGUGUAGAUACAACAUGGCAUCAAAACAUAAUUCUAUGACUCAAGUAUUUAUUAGAGACUCAUAAGGGUCAACAUAGUGUGAUAUUACAAACAGGGGUCACAAGACCCAACACUCAAUUCAUACAAGCAAAAAGCGGAAGCAUAACAUGUCUCGGUACAGACAUCUAGGAAGUAAAAAGACUGAGAAAGCCUGUCUAUAUACAAGACCCUCCAUAGGAACCAGACCUCUAUCUGGGAUUCCCAAGCUACUCGGUUAACAUCGAUCUUAUCGUCGAAACCACUAGCGAGAGUAGAGUCUCCUAUGCAAAAACAUAAAUUAAGCAACAACGAGUACAGAGGUACUCACCAAGACUUACAUCAGAACUAACUACAUAUGUAUCAGUACCAACAAAGGGGGUUGUGGGGUUUAAUGCAGCAAGCCAUCUUUGACUCAGUGGUUAUCCUAUACUACGACUACCAACAGUUUAAUAAUCUGAGAAAGCACACACGAGUCCAGUAGCUAGUGACCACAACAGUAGACCACUACAGAUCCACUUCCGUCUCCCUACGAGAAGCCCAUCUAUAGCACUCACACUUGUCUUGCAUAUUUUACAAUAGCCACUUCAAGUUGUUUAUGACCAUAUAAGUUUCCAAGUAGUCCAUAUGUGCGGAUGCAACUAAUUGAAUAGAUGAUUAUCCUGCAGGGGUGUACUUGUUCACACACGCUCUCACCACUUAUCACCAUAUGCACGUCAUGCAUCUCAGCAACAUUCAAGCGGAAGCACUGGCGUGGAUGUCCGACAUGACCUGACUAACCACACAAGACUCUAGUCCAGGUUUAUCGCCUAUUUGAGACCGAACCCGGAAGGAAGCCCGGCCAAAGUUUCCUCUAUAGCCCUAAACGAUGUGUACAGGGUUUCCCAAUCCCACCUCGACGGUUGUACUAUGCUUGGUACACUGGGCCAUGAUGCCUAGUCUGUCCCAAGCCCACCUGUAUGGGGUGCCACUCGGUAGACUACUAGGAUGACCUACAAACACCAGAAACUAGUUGCAACUCCUGGACACGGGUCUAGGUGAUGAAUAAGUCGGGAGAUUCAAUUAAAGAUCCCAAUGUGCAGUAGUAGCUAGUCUUGGAAAACAUAGACAACACUCAGUUCUUGAGGACGAUCUCAAUGAUACAACCCACCAUGUUCUCCUACAUGGCUCUCAUCUCUACCUUUACCAAAUCGUGUUGACACACUUAGUUUUCAUCAUUAGAACAUGAUGACAUUCAUUCCAAACCAUCACCCAGAUGGAUCAGACCGGACACGACUCUAAGCAUAACUAGCGUGGCAGGGAAAUGCAUAACAUGGCUCAAGCAUGUACGAGGUAUCCUAGGUUGCUUAGUUCAGCUAUUUACUAUGACAAUGACAGUUCAUGCAGAGGAAUGGGUUCAACUACCGUAAUAGGUAACAGUUCAAGCAUAUUGUCCUAAUGCAUUAAAUGAGAGCAAGAUCGAGAUAGUUGGAUUGUAUCAGAGUGCUCAAGGGUGUUUUCUUGCCUGAUAAAACGUCAACAAGUUACUGCUUCUCAGAUGGAUACUCGAUCAUACCCUUCGGAAUAGGACCUAACACGAAGAUACAACCAUCAAAGGGGAACAAAUAAAUACACAUCAAAUGCAACAAUAUUAUGCAUGAAUAUGACAUGGCAAUAUGAUAUGGUUUGGCAUAAUGCACCUAGCAACAGAUUUAAAUGAAGUAGGUUUGAACCCAAGGUUAAAAUUCAACUCUAUAUGUGAGAUUACAUAUUUCAGUUUGAACAAAAUGUCCAAAUUAUCCUAUUUAGGUUUCUCUAUAAUGCAUGCAAAUAGUACAUAUGGAUUCUUUGGAUUUUUCUGAUAAUUUUUCAUAUAUAAUUUAUUUCAUUUGGAUUUAUUGUUGAAUUUCUGUGAAGUUUACAAGUUUUAUCAAUUUUUGCAAUUAUUUAGAAUCGAGAAAUGCAUUUACUGUAUCAGUUAUACGUUAUCAUGAUGUCUAGUGGUCAAUUGGUGGAUGGGCCCCACAUGUCAUAGCCACAGUUUUCUAAGGUUUUUUAAUUAAACCUAACAUCAGUUAAUAGAACCGGUCCCAUAUGUGAUUGGUUCAGGGCUAAUUAGUUGGGUGAUUAGCUCCCAGCUAAUCACCUGACGACGUGGCCCCACCCGCUAGUGGCAUAGGCGGCGGUGUUUGUCGCUGGCAACCUCUGGUCGCCAUGGUGUCCGUGCUACCGGUAAUGCCAGCGGCGGCAGAGACCAUUGGGGCGUAGCCCCUGCUCGCCCGCAUCCGAAGCAGCAGGUUGGGGGCGCAGGGAAUGCCGGAGAUGACGAUAAAGAUGCCGGAGGACGCGGUCGGAGCUCAGCCAGGUCGAGCUCGAGACCACGGUAUCGGGAGGAAGUAGCAGAGGGCGGCUACGGCAUCGUGCGAGAUCACUGAGCAUGCUGGUGUGAUCGGCAGCGAGCCUAGGGGCACUAGCCAUGGCUGCAAGAUGGUCGGCGGCGUGAAGCUCAUGCGCAUGGCAGCUAGUAGGGUUAGGACAGGGGAAUGACGAUGGGGCUAGGGGGAUAAGAACCGGGGGCUCAUACCGGAUGCGCAGACAUUGACGGUGUGAUCGGAGAGGACCCGGACG